This 761-nucleotide ribosomal RNA is filed under the name Prevotella melaninogenica. RNAcentral's name for it is "bacterial SSU rRNA". It matches the Rfam family "Bacterial small subunit ribosomal RNA", at positions 28 to 776 of the family's 1533-position model. The record is from RNAcentral. Lineage: Bacteria; Pseudomonadati; Bacteroidota; Bacteroidia; Bacteroidales; Prevotellaceae.
GGUGAACGCUAGCUACAGGCUUAACACAUGCAAGUCGAGGGGAAACGGCAUUAAGUGCUUGCACUUUUUGGACGUCGACCGGCGCACGGGUGAGUAACGCGUAUCCAACCUUCCCAUGACUAAGGGAUAACCUGCCGAAAGGCAGACUAAUACCUUAUGGUCUUCACUGACGGCAUCAGAUGUGAAGUAAAGAUUUAUCGGUUAUGGAUGGGGAUGCGUCUGAUUAGUUAGUUGGCGGGGUAACGGCCCACCAAGGCAACGAUCAGUAGGGGUUCUGAGAGGAGGGUCCCCCACAUUGGAACUGAGACACGGUCCAAACUCCUACGGGAGGCAGCAGUGAGGAAUAUUGGUCAAUGGGCGAGAGCCUGAACCAGCCAAGUAGCGUGCAGGAUGACGGCCCUAUGGGUUGUAAACUGCUUUUGUAUGGGGAUAAAGUCAAUCACGUGUGAUUGUUUGCAGGUACCAUACGAAUAAGGACCGGCUAAUUCCGUGCCAGCAGCCGCGGUAAUACGGAAGGUCCGGGCGUUAUCCGGAUUUAUUGGGUUUAAAGGGAGCGUAGGCUGGAGAUUAAGUGUGUUGUGAAAUGUAGACGCUCAACGUCUGACUUGCAGCGCAUACUGGUUUCCUCGAGUACGCACAACGUUGGCGGAAUUCGUCGUGUAGCGGUGAAAUGCUUAGAUAUGACGAAGAACUCCGAUUGCGAAGGCAGCUGACGGGAGCGCAACUGACGCUGAAGCUCGAAGGUGCGGGUAUCGAACAGG